AGUCUGUUAGUAUAGUUGAAGGAUUUGGAAAAUUCCGCUAAAGAGGGUGAAAGCCCCGUAGACGAAAUGCUGACAACACCUAGGAGGAUCCUGAGUACGGCGGAACACGAGAAAUUCCGUCGGAAUCCGCGGGGACCAUCCCGCAAGGCUAAAUACUCCCUAGUGACCGAUAGUGAACCAGUACCGUGAGGGAAAGGUGAAAAGCACCCCGGAAGGGGAGUGAAAUAGAUCCUGAAACCGUGUGCCUACAACAAGUCAAAGCUCGUUAAUGAGUGAUGGCGUGCCUUUUGUAGAAUGAACCGGCGAGUUACGAUUGCAUGCGAGGUUAAGUCGAAGAGACGGAGCCGCAGCGAAAGCGAGUCUGAAUAGGGCGAAUGAGUAUGUAGUCGUAGACCCGAAACCAUGUGAUCUACCCAUGUCCAGGUUGAAGGUGCGGUAAAACGCACUGGAGGACCGAACCCACGUACGUUGAAAAGUGCGGGGAUGAGGUGUGGGUAGCGGAGAAAUUCCAAACGAACUUGGAGAUAGCUGGUUCUCUCCGAAAUAGCUUUAGGGCUAGCCUCGGAAUUGAGAAUGAUGGAGGUAGAGCACUGUUUGGACUAGGGGCCCAUCUCGGGUUACCGAAUUCAGAUAAACUCCGAAUGCCAUUCAUUUAUAUCCGGGAGUCAGACUGCGAGUGAUAAGAUCCGUAGUCGAAAGGGAAACAGCCCAGACCACCAGCUAAGGUCCCAAAAUAUAUGUUAAGUGGAAAAGGAUGUGGGGUUGCACAGACAACUAGGAUGUUGGCUUAGAAGCAGCCACCAUUUAAAGAGUGCGUAAUAGCUCACUAGUCGAGUGACCCUGCGCCGAAAAUGUACCGGGGCUAAACAUAUUACCGAAGCUGUGGACUACACCAUUAGGUGUAGUGGUAGGAGAGCGUUCUAAGGGCGUUGAAGGUCGAUCGUGAGGACGGCUGGAGCGCUUAGAAGUGAGAAUGCCGGUAUGAGUAGCGAAAGACAGGUGAGAAUCCUGUCCACCGUAUGACUAAGGUUUCCUGGGGAAGGCUCGUCCGCCC
RNAcentral lists this ribosomal RNA (1054 nucleotides) under Enterococcus faecalis. RNAcentral describes it as "partial 23S ribosomal RNA". It matches the Rfam family "Bacterial large subunit ribosomal RNA", at positions 318 to 1375 of the family's 2925-position model. The record is from RNAcentral. Lineage: Bacteria; Bacillati; Bacillota; Bacilli; Lactobacillales; Enterococcaceae.